Molecule: long non-coding RNA, 238 nt
Organism: Bradysia coprophila
Lineage: Eukaryota; Metazoa; Arthropoda; Insecta; Diptera; Sciaridae
Source: RefSeq, a predicted model, not a curated record
GGCCCUAAGUGUAUUUUGCAUAUAACUCGAGUUUUGAUCGGAUUUUGCUAAUUUUAGUUUUAUAUGAAAGGUAAUUGAAUACCGAAUAGAAUGUUGUGGAAAAACAUUUUAAAUUUGGCUCCUAGGACUAAGGCCGCUCCUUCGACCCUAAGUGUAUUUUGCAUAUAACUCGAGUAAAUUUGAUCCGAUUUUCCUAAUUUUCGUUUUAUUUGUAAGUAAAUUUUGUAAGCUAAUCGAA